Molecule: long non-coding RNA, 671 nt
Filed under: Taeniopygia guttata (zebra finch)
Lineage: Eukaryota; Metazoa; Chordata; Aves; Passeriformes; Estrildidae
Description: lncRNA (ENSTGUG00000029518.1)
Source: RNAcentral
UAAUGUCAAAGUGCUCUUUUUCUACUUUCAUAGCCUUGGUAGUAGGGCUUUUGAAAAAGGUCCCCUUUGCUGACAACUUCUUCAGGUCCUGGCUGGGAGCUUUUUACCUUCCAAACUGAAUUUCAAGCUACAGUAUUUUCACAAUUACCAUUUUUAUCUUCUCGUGGAAAAUGUAAAUUAACUGCUGAAUUUUUCUAAUUCUUUUUUUCUAAUUCUUGUUUUCCUUGGAAAAAAAAUUGUGGAAUCUGAAUAUUUUUCUUUUUGUAUUUCUUUUCACACAUGCUCUUCAGUGAAGCAAUUAAUUUAGAAUGCGUGCAGAAAAUGAAUUCUGGUUGGCUCAUGAUACCAUUUAAUUCUGGUUAGGACAGUCUCCUUCACAACAGAGUAUCUUUCUGUCUUAGGAAAUGAUCUUUGAAAGGUGUCCCCAGAGUGUGACUCAGCUGCUGGAACUGAGCCCUGACCUCCUGGGUCUGAUACAUUCCAUGUUGGGGAAUUCAGUUGUUCCAGAGCCACCUGGAGAGGAGAUCAAAGAGAUUGGCAGAAAGAAAGAAGCUGUGGGCUUGCAACAACAGGAUGAUGAAAACAAUUCAAAAGAUGUUUCUGAACUGCUCCUCUUGGAUACAAGCAGCAAAAUGUCUCCUAGGAUGCUUCAAGGACAGAGGAGCAGAUGA